Molecule: ribosomal RNA, 494 nt
Filed under: uncultured bacterium
Lineage: Bacteria
Description: partial 16S ribosomal RNA
Rfam family: Bacterial small subunit ribosomal RNA
Source: RNAcentral
GACGAACGCUGGCGGCGUGCCUAAUACAUGCAAGUAGAACGCUGAAGGAGGAGCUUGCUCUUCUGGAUGAGUUGCGAACGGGUGAGUAACGCGUAGGUAACCUGCCUGGUAGCGGGGGAUAACUAUUGGAAACGAUAGCUAAUACCGCAUAAGAGUAGAUGUUGCAUGACAUUUGCUUAAAAGGUGCAAUUGCAUCACUACCAGAUGGACCUGCGUUGUAUUAGCUAGUUGGUGGGGUAACGGCUCACCAAGGCGACGAUACAUAGCCGACCUGAGAGGGUAUCGGGCAAACUGGGAACGGAACACGGGCCAAACUUCUACGGGAGGCAACAGUAGGGAAUUUUUGGGAAUUGACGGAAGGCCUAACGAAGAACGGCGGGGUAGUGAAGAAGGUUUUCGGAUCGUAAAGCUCUGUUGUAAGAGAAGAACGAGUGUGAGAGUGGAAAGUUCACACUGUGACGGUAUCUUACCAGAAAGGGACGGCUAACUACGUG